AUAUUGUCAUUCUAAACAAAAUAAUUUAUAUUAUAAUUUCAUCCUUAGUGUAAAAAAAAAUUACAUAGUGACCAAUGACUUCUCUAGGUGGAUUGAGACAAGAACUCUAAAGAAGUGCACAGACAGGGGGAUUUGGUAUUAUCUUGAGCUGUGGGCUCAGGUAAGUCAAGGUGGCAACAACCAUGUAACCAUGUAGACUUGGAGACUGUGAAACAUGUUUGGAUAGUGUGCAUCUGAAUUUUUAUAUAAUAGUUUAAAAACAAAUAAUUUAACUAUACAGGGGAAUUGGAUCUUGAAGUUUGUGAGGCAAUGUUCAGGAUAGAAUAGAUUUUUUGUGAGAGAUUCAAAGAUUUGGUGCUAUAAAAGAAUUCACAAUGAUGUUGCAGUAAGUAGAGGUACUGCUCAGAGUUCAUGCAAGCAUGGAGGGGAAGAUAGAACUUCCAAAUAAUCUCAUUAUUUAAUUUUCUACAAUGGGACUGGAGUAAAAUAUAAAAUUUAAUAGGUAAACAUUAAUUUGGAGAUGGGAUGUAAUGGGUUCUAAUAAAAAAUAAUCAGAAAAAGCUGACAGCAUUAAAAUAGUCUAUGCUAGUAUCAAAAGAGUAAUAUCUAGAAGUAUUUAUAAGGAAAUUGGAGAUUAUUUUGAAAGGUGAUGCUAUACAAUAUCAAUAUUCUUUGUUUUAUAAAUUGUUCCAGGCCCUUACAUUGACUAUUUACAAAUUUUUGAGAGCAAACAGCAUUCCAUUGGCAUUUAUCCAGGAAAUGGGACUGAAUAUCUCCAUAUGCUUAGUUUUUAUGUCAUCUUUACCAAUAGGAAAAUAUUUCUCAGAUUAUGGGAUUCCCAUUGGACCAGGGAUAGAAUUAUGAUUCAAGUUUGUCAAUCAAAAUGAGUUCAGACGUGUGGAGCGACUUUUGUGAAGAUUUUCCUUUAAUAUAUUCCAGAGCUGGAAUUCAAACCCUGCUGGAGAUCCUUGUCCUUUACUAUGUUGUUCCUAAAUUUCUUCAACUUUUUCGAUAUCUUCAUAUGAGAACUGGGACAAUAGACUUUUUCCACCUCAGCUGAAAACACACAUGAUGGCUGACUUAAAUGUUCUCAUGUUCUACACAUGUCUUCAACUGGCUACAGUAGAACUGCCAGUAUUGAUUUUGAGGUUGUAAGUAAAUUUUAGUCAGAUAAUAAAUUUAUAGAAAAUGGAAUCCACAAAUAAUGAGGAUUGGUAAUAUAUGUGGUCUGUAAACCCAACUCAAUAAAAUGUGCUUUGAAAUACACAAAAAUAAUUUUAAAAUAUUAGUUAUGAUUAUGGAUAAAUAAAAAUAUAUGAUUAUGGAUAAAUUUGUUAACUACCUUUCAUUUUCUAAAAUGAAUAUAUGCUAAUUGUAAAAUCAUGUUUUAAUAGAAUAGCUAGCUAUUUCUGUGUUCUUGCCUAUAGGGAAAAACUGCAACAUCA
Molecule: non-coding RNA, 1445 nt
Organism: Ictidomys tridecemlineatus (thirteen-lined ground squirrel)
Lineage: Eukaryota; Metazoa; Chordata; Mammalia; Rodentia; Sciuridae
Source: RefSeq, a predicted model, not a curated record